AACCUCCGCAAUGUGAGAAAUCGCGACGGGGGGAUCCCAAGUGCCAUUCUUAACGGGAUGGCUUUUCAUUAGUGUAAAGAGCUUUUGGAAUAAGGGCUGGGCAAGACCGGUGCCAGCCGCCGCGGUAACACCGGCAGCUCUAGUGGUAGCAGUUUUUAUUGGGCCUAAAGCGUCCGUAGCCGGUUUAAUAAGUCUCUGGUGAAAUCCUGUAGCUUAACUGUGGGAAUUGCUGGAGAUACUAUUAGACUUGAGACCGGGAGAGGUUAGAGGUACUCCCAGGGUAGAGGUGAAAUUCUGUAAUCCUGGGAGGACCGCCUGUUGCGAAGGCGUCUAACUGGAACGGUUCUGACGGUGAGGGACGAAAGUUAGGGGCGCGAACCGGAUUAGAUACCCGGGUAGUCCCUAAUGUAAACGAUGCGGACUUGGUGUUGGGGUGGCUUUGAGCUGCUCCAGUGCCGAAGGGAAGCUGUUAAGUCCGCCGCCUGGGAAGUACGGUCGCAAGACUGAAACUUAAAAGGAUG
This 521-nucleotide ribosomal RNA is filed under the name uncultured bacterium. RNAcentral's name for it is "bacterial SSU rRNA". It matches the Rfam family "Archaeal small subunit ribosomal RNA", at positions 345 to 866 of the family's 1478-position model. The record is from RNAcentral.